Molecule: ribosomal RNA, 620 nt
Filed under: Sphaerophorus globosus
Lineage: Eukaryota; Fungi; Ascomycota; Lecanoromycetes; Lecanorales; Sphaerophoraceae
Description: LSU rRNA
Rfam family: Eukaryotic large subunit ribosomal RNA
Source: RNAcentral
GAUUGACCUCGGAUCAGGUAGGGAUACCCGCUGAACUUAAGCAUAUCAAUAAGCGGAGGAAAAGAAACCAACAGGGAUUGCCUCAGUAACGGCGAGUGAAGCGGCAACAGCUCAAAUUUGAAAUCUGGCUCCUUCGGGGCCCGAGUUGUAAUUUGUAGAGGACGUUUCGGGUGCGGCCCGGUCUAAGUCCCUUGGAACAGGGCGUCAUAGAGGGUGAGAAUCCCGUAUGUGACCGGUGACCAACCCCAUGUGAAACCCCUUCGACGAGUCGAGUUGUUUGGGAAUGCAGCUCAAAAUGGGUGGUAAAUUCCAUCUAAAGCUAAAUACUGGCCAGAGACCGAUAGCGCACAAGUAGAGUGGUCGAAAGAUGAAAAGCACUUUGGAAAGAGAGUCAAACAGUACGUGAAAUUGUUGAAAGGGAAGCGCUGGCAACCAGACCUGCCCCGGGCGAUCAGCGGGUGUUCUCACCCGUGCACUCGCCCGCGAUCAGGCCAGCAUCGGUUUCGGCGGUCGGAUACAGACCCGGGGAACGUGGCUCUCUUCGGGGAGUGUUAUAGCCCCGGGUGCAAUGCGGCCAGCCGGGACCGAGGACCGCGCUUCGGCUAGAUGCUGGCGUAAUG